RNAcentral lists this long non-coding RNA (8504 nucleotides) under Gallus gallus (chicken). RNAcentral's name for it is "lncRNA (ENSGALG00010007121.1)". The record is from RNAcentral. Lineage: Eukaryota; Metazoa; Chordata; Aves; Galliformes; Phasianidae.
GAUACCGGUGCGGGGCGCAUCACCGGCCGUCCCCCUCCGCGCAACGGCACUAAUCCCCUCGUGCCCAACCAACGGCGCUUGGUUCCGGGGUUCCGCUCGGUAACUCCUCCGGUGGAGCAAAGUUGCCCCGUCCGUCCGUGCCACCGGGGCAGGAGGCGGACGGGAGCCGGGGGCGGGGGGGGGCGCGCAAUCCGCGCGGUGCCGGAGCGGAGGUACUACUUGGCGGAUCCCGACGGCGCCCGUCGGCAGUGUGUUCCCGGGCCCCGCCGCGCUGUUGUUAUUUAUUUAACCAACGGGGAGUAACGAAACUCAGCCGGAGGGGUCGGGACGGCGGGGCGGGCGCUGCAGCUGGGGCUGGGCCGGGGCUGUGCGAUGGAAGGGCUCGGGCCCGAUGCGGCGGCGACAGCGCCGGACAGCGCCGGGCGGGUAGAGGCCUCUGGCCGAGGCCUGCGGAGCAGCAGCGCCGCCGAACGAAUUAAGAGGCCCCGUACCACCCGGAGCCCCGCGGGCUCCGGCGCAGCGCCCCUCGCAGCGCCUCCGACGGCCCCGGCGGGGCUCAGUGUGAGCCGCGGGAAGGGGAACGGGGGCUCCGUUCCGGCGGUAGCGUUGGUUCAGGGGCUCACGAAGCGGGCUGCGCGCCGCCUGGGCUCGGCGCUGCUCGACCGCAUCACGGCGUUACCGCUGUGAGUACGGGCAGAAAUGAGAAUCGGCCGCGAAACAAAGCGAAAUGAGCCCCGCGGCUUCCUCGUGCUGAAAGGAGAAAGGGAAAUGUGAGUGAUAGAGUACCGCUCGCGUUUAAACUGAGCGCUGUGCAACACAACGUACAGCCGGUGCCCGUCGCUGCUUUCAACCAGCCAAAGUUUACGUUUGUCCCGCUGGAGAAAUGGUUCCGUUGAAAUAACACCCGCAGCCCUGCCCCAGCUGUGUGUCCCGGGAAACCCAGUGCAUAUUCCAGUGCAACCACCACGGCUCUGUGCCUUUUCUGUAUGCGUUUGUGGGUAUGUGCGUGUGUGCGAGAGAGAGGCUGUGAGAAAGAGAGAGUAAAUCCCCACAACAAUUGCCGUGGAUGGGCAAUAAACAAUUGCAGUUGGGCAUGGCACGAACUAUGUGCAUUGGAUUAACCUCGCUUGACCUCACCACAAUUGUAUUUAUUUAUCCAAUUCCGUAACAGGUUGCUACUGACCAAAAAGAAGUAGAAGUCAAUGAUCAACUACCUUCGUUUUUUUUUUAUUUUAUUUUGUAGAAUUUCUGGGUUUUUUUUGUUUGUUUGUUUUUGGUUUUUAAUAUCAUAAUUUGUAAUUAUUUCCUUGCACAACCCUGAAGCCAAUAUAUGGGAACUCCUGAGGAAGAGCGCAGUGUGGAGGAUGUGACUGAGCUCUGCGGUGCUGGGGUAAGAGGAAAGGCCGAAGGAAAAGAGUACCACUGUCAGCUCGAUGGAUGCAGAUAUGCUGUGGCCCCCACACCCCCCGCGGCUCCAGCCUCCAGUCCCCCUUCACACGAAUACAGCGGCUCUGCACUCCCAGGCUCUUCCAAGGGGUUAAGCUGCUAAAAUGUCCUGACAGCUUAAGGAAUGAAUGAGGGUUUUUUCAGCCAUGAAGAAAGAGUAUUUAAUAACCACGCUUCGAUGGCAUCAUGUGUCCACGAAAAGAGUCGGGACACCUUAGAUUAACAACCUCUAACAUCGCGUUGGGUACAGUAAAUGCCUGGACGUACGCAUUUAUAACUCUAUCCCCCGGAUUCUAAGCUUGUCUUAUUUAUUCCAGGUUACCUGGGCAAUUAAGGUAAGAGCAGCUCAGCAGACAGCGAUAUCCCGCUGCUCGGGCAGGGCGAGCGGGGCCGGAACGCAGCGCUAACAAAGGCGAGAGGUGGUCAUACAGAUUGAAGAGGGGUGAAUGGGACUGGAGGUGGAGGAAUGAAUGGAAGCUAAGAGAGAGAGGAAGACGUAUUCAGCGGUCCACCCUUACAUCCGCGUUUGUAUAUUUAAGUUUAGGUGUCUGUCUCUAACCGACUUUCAGUUAAUCCCUAACAGCUGGUCGUAGUGCUAACGUUUAGUGAUUAGAAGUUACUCUAUUUAGCAUGCUGUAUCCUUCUUGCCUGGGUUUUGGUUACAGGUUAUACGAUUAGCAUUGCGAGAACAGUAGUGAACUAAACUUCCCAGUGAGAGGUCUUCACACCAGGGAAGUGUUACUUUGCGGCAGCAGCCCUGCCUCGUCAGUCAUUAGGAAGCUGCAGGUUGUCAGAGCCUUCUCUUGCGCGCACACACGCGCAGACACACACGCGCACACACAAAACCAUAGCACUAAAACUAAAUUAAGAAGCCGAUGAUUAAGACAAGCGUCUACGAGGCCUGUCAUUUCAGCAUCCUUCCAUCAUAAUGUUAUGGCACCGAGAAAUUUGCUUGAAAACCCUGGAAAAAAUGUCUAUGGGAGAGCCUGGUAUUUGAGAUAGCGUAAAUGUUAACAUCGAGUGGAGGCUGGGAGCUUCCGCGGAUGCAAGAUGGCAUUCCACUGAGGACACGGGUGCUGCAGGGACCUCUGGGCUGUCCGCACACUCGGGUGAGUAUCGCUCCCUUCUAUUGAAGCAGGUAUGCAGGCACUGCGCGAAUCGAAGUGGACCGCGUUUGAAAUCCGCAGCUCUGUUCCUUGCGGAGACUUCGGGGAACUCCCCCUAAAGAUAGAUCUGUAAUGAAAAGUCCCUGCCGGAUGACUAAUGGUUAUUGGCACUCGGUGCCCCUUUAAGGAGAGCGGCACAUAUUGUGCAGAAGACCUUGCGAGCACCCUUUAAAUACAAACAUUUUAAGCCCCCCUCCUAUGCAUCCCCACCCCUGUUGUUUUCGGGCUCGUUGUGUUGUAGCUCCUCUUCUCCCCCCCUCCUUUAAGCUCUCUCGUCUUCCCUCCCCCACCCCAUUCAGAACUAAUUGCUCAGUUGCUGAAAUGUUUCAAGAAGAGCUAAAUUUCCCCAUCCGAUGAUCUUUUGAGAAGCGGCACUGUACCAUAAAGACCAGCCAGCGGGGUACUGCUGGAGGAGAGGUAGCGUUCACACAGUGACGCUCGGCACUAGGUGUAAAGAGUCCCCCUCACGCUGAACUUCGAGAGGUGCCUUGCACGGGCAGGGCUUGGAACAACGAGGAAAUGGGAAGCGAUUGCUGUAGGGGACGGAAACCUUCGGUGGUGCCGUAAGCACCGGGACAGAACGGUGACAGAAGGGGACCUCGGGAGCAUCGCAGUGCGCCUUUGCCCCGGCGGCUGCAGCGGGGUGGGAAGGGAUGAUUUUCUUCGCCUUUGUUACACGCGAAAGGUUCUAUUUAUUUCCUAUACCUUUAGAAUCCCAUCCAUGGAGAGCCUAUCUGUAGACGUCGAGCUUCCAUUAGAAUUUGUCUGUUCUUCUGCCACUGCCAGAAUUUUUCAAAACAGAACGUUCUGACACUCGCUGCCAACCCGAAGGCUCGGAGGUGCUUUUUUGCAAAACCCGAGGUGUCGCCCUUCUGUUACACAGCGGUGUGUUUGAGUGUCACCUCCGUCUGUGUGAUGCGUAUCCUCGCGAAACAAACAAAAAGACCACUAAGGGUCAGAAUGGAAAUUAAAAUAUCCCUGAAGAAUUACUCACAGAGCUAUGAUGAUAAUAAAACGUAGGGGGUAUUGGGCCACUUAAAAGUCGUAUAUUGUUCUCGAGGUUUCAAUACAACAUUUUAUUUUAUUCUGUUUGCUGGUAAAAUAUUCUUGGCCAAUGCGGCGUUUUUUUAAUUUUUAUUUUUUAAAUUUUUAUUUUUUUUUUUUCGGAGUAUUGAGGUUGAAUUCAAGAACAGGGAGAAAUGAGCAGGGUUUGGAUAGACUUGGAGCCGCUCUUUGACUCCCAGAAUAUUUUCCUAUUGCCCCUCUAAAGCCGCUUAGCCUCUUAUAAAUGUAAUCUUGAGCAAACGACACACGUAUCUGGGUCUGCAGUUUUUCGGUAACGCUAGAAAAUUUGAUUUCCUCUCGCCUUCCCUCCCCCCCUCACCUUCCCCCCAGCCCUGCCCCCCUCCCUCAGCACAGAGCCAGACCCGUCCCUCUCCGGGCAUUAUUCCCCAGGCGCUUGGAGCAGCCAGCGAGCAUCUGCCCACCCACCCUACCUGGCCUCCCCGCUCCGUGCAUCCAUGGCAGCCCUCGGUUUAGUGGGAUCCGAGCUUGACGCGAUGAGCCGCGGACCCCAUUUUUAGGGCCUACAAAAGCACAACAUCCUCCCCUCUCCCCCCCCAUACGUCUCCUGGACCCCCCGUGUAACCACAGCAAAAUGCUGGAGGUAGCACAAAAGCCAUACACAACUGUACACCCGCGUAGGCAAGACGCCUGGCGAGCCCCGGAGUAAAGCCACUUUUCACUUUCUCCGUGCCCGGGGCUCAUGCGGGAGGAGGCGGUGCGCGGCGCGGAGUUGUGCGCGGAUGCGGAGCUGCGCUCGGUGUGGGACCCGCGGUCGGGACUGGGGGGGGGGGGGGCGGGGAGGGGACGGGGACGAACGUUGCGGCUUCCGCAGUGCCCCAGUCGGAGGGGACGGCUCUCGUUGGGGGGUGUUCUGAGCACUUUAUAUUGGCGGGGUGGUCUCCAUGUUUUCUUUUUUCUUUCUUUCGCGGAGGGAGGGGAGAGAGAUGGUAAGGGGCUUGUUGGAUGAUUAUAACUGCUACCACCCAUAAAUAAGUUUCUUGGGGAAGGACUGAUAGCGUACCCUUGAUAUCUGUGGGUGUGUUCAUACAUUAUUUUCAUAUGAUAUGUCUUUUAGACAGAGCCUGUUUUCCUCCUCCCUCUCUCCCCAGCCCACCCUCCACCCCCCGCUUUUUUUUUUUUUUUUUUUUUUCUGGAGUUUGUUUCGCUUUUAAAGCAGCAGCACAAACAAACAAACACACAAAACCGACUGGCAACAAGUUAAAUCUCGUCCGCGUCCCUCCCACCGCGCGCGGACGGUGCCUCGCUACAGCCUGGGGUGGUGGUUCUGCCUCGGCAGUAAUCUGACCGAGAAGCGGCUGCACGCUGACUUCUGAGCGGUGACACUGUGGAGAGAAAAGGCGUUGAAAGAAACACUUCUCCCGGGAUGCACCAUCUCCUUUGUGUGUUCGCUCCUCUCCGUCUUUCAGACGGGGCGCUCCAUAGGCUUGCACACGCACACACGCGCACACGUACGCACUGAGUCUCUGUUUCCCCGGGAGUUUUCAGAAAACAGUGUUUAUUAGAACCGAUCUAUAAACUCCACCUGAACAAUGAAAUCACGCGGUAGCUCGGAAAACUCCAACAAACAAAUAUUUUGCACAAGUGAGACGAUGGCAUUGCACUUUCUUUGCCUGCUCGUUGCAAAACGCCAAUGACAGGUAUAGAUAAAAGGCUCGUAGCCCUUGUCCACGUUGGACUGGACAGAACCAUACCCAUUUAGGAACAGACCGGGUUUAUUUUCCCUCCCAAGGCGACUACAAACUAGUUUUGCAGUUGUAUUAGGUACCGAAUCCACAAGAAAACAUUUUCUCCCUGAGGGUCCCGCUCAGGUCUCACUGAGGCUUCUGCAAGAGCCGCCUGCAUCGCACGCCUCAGCUUCUCCCUGCCUUCAGUGCAAAGAACUGCAGAUAGACAGUGUUUGCCUGUGCUCAGCGUACCUAGCAGAUACCUCUUCACGCAACCGCACAGUUCGCAAAUGAUAGUUUAACUUUCUCUGUUGUGGUGGGCACGUGUUUUGUCAUCUGAAAUUAACUUGUGAAAGCCUUUGUAUCAUUUUUUGAUUUGUGUUUGGCGACAACGCGGAUCAUAUCUUACCGCGUUGAUGGUUGGUACAAUUGCUAAAUUAAAGGCAUGUUUUCGGCUUUGAGAAACAGCAACAAAAAAACAGCCCUCUGAGAGCUCAUCUUCAGCAGAACAACCCAAAGAGCACCGUAAUAACACAGCUCAAUAUUUCCUGCGUGCGCAGUGUCUAUGUCACUCGAUGUCUCUAUUGUCUCUGCCUAGGGAUACUCAAGGAACUCUCAGACUCGUUACCUAUGACCAUCACCUAAAGGAAUAUACGAACAGAAUGUGGAUAAUCGCUCCAAUUGCUUGGAGGAAUGCAAGUGGAUUCGUAUAUAUAUACUUUUUCUGUGUCCUUACCUGUUCUCCCAUGUAAACAUUAGGAACUGAACUCGUCUUGACGUGCUUUGGUGCCUGAGCCACACGGAGAGAGACGAACCACUACGAUAGAGUGAGCGAACCCCGUUGUGUGCGGUGCGGUGCGGUGCGGUGUUGUUCCUUCUGUUGAGGCUCCGCUUCCCCGUGGAGGGCGUCCCGCCGCGCCCAGCGCUGAGCCCCGCUCUUCUCCGGACACGCGGCUUUACGUGUAAAGCUUUUAGCGCGUUGGGGCUGAAAUUAUGAUUUUCCACGUUUCCAAAGGGACGGGGCUCUAUUUAUAAACGUUACAGGAGGUUUCGUUACUUCAGGAACAACAAAACAGGAACAGAGCUGUAAUUUUCAAGAAAAUAGGAUUUCAAAAUACAGAAAUAAAAAAAAGUAGAGAAGACGACGUAUAAUUCAAUCAAAUUACUGACAAUUGCUUUAAAAUUCAGAAUAGUAGCGAUCCAUUAUGUCUCUGUUUUAUUAGUGACAAGUACAAUUACUCUAAAAUAAAGAACACUGGUGAAUAUAUAAUUGGCUGUAAUCACGUUAGUAUUGGAAUAAAAAUGACGGGGACAUUUAACACUUUGACAACAAAAUGCUCAGAAACAACUUAUUUAUUCAAACAGUUUUUAUUUGCGUUCACGUGAGGCAGAAACACGCUUUUGCUUACGAUAAAUCAAUGUAGGUUCCCCCCCCCCACACUUUUAAUAUACAUAUAACUAAAGAAAGAUGAUUAAUUAUUUUGUUAUCUGCGGCUUAAUGAAGUCUCCCGUGCGCGGCUACAUUGCCGCUGAUCGCUCGGUACCCAGAGAACGCCAUCUACAGGAAAAGGGCUUCAGAAUGAGCACAAAUCCAUACACUAUUGGUUAAGGGAAAAAAAAAAAAAAAGAAAAAAAAAAAGAAAAAAAAAAAUCAGAGUUAAUAUUCCUCUCUAAAUCCGGCUCCGAUGUUACCCACCGCACCGAUCACAAUAUUUGCUUUGUAAUUGCUUUUCGCGAUUCAGUUUGUUAUAGUUUGACACAAUGUAGGAAUCUGUUACGAGGCCUUUUCUCUGAGAUGCGGCAUUUCAGAAAUACACUGAACUCCGCGAAGAAGCACUUUUUCUCCCCCUAAAGCAGCUCUUUUCUCUCGGGAGUGACAUGAUCGUCCCUGAACAACCCAGGCGCUCUGUCCCUUCAAGUGAAGUGUGGAAGACGCCCGCAAAAGAACCCCGAAAACAAAAUCACUUGAUUGAAAGCAUUUUGUGCAGCAAUUGCAUCGUGGAAUAAGACACAACAUUUCUUUAUCUUUACUUUCACGUAUUUCCCUUUGGAUAACGCCUCGAAAUACCCUAGGCACGCUCUCCUCUGUUCGUGUAGAGCGUCAUUUGCCCCAUAGGGUAGUCCCUAAAGGUGCAGCUCGGCUGUGCUUUUCAUUUCUGAGCCUUUGGCGGAACCUCAUCGAAGUAGAAAGAUUGCCCCUUAAUAUUUCGGUCAGACAACUGUAGACCCGUGGAGACAGCGUAUAUCCUCCAUGGUGCGAAUCCAGCACCCCAGUCAAGCCAUAGAAAAUAAGAGAAAAUAGAGAAAAUAGAGGAAACUUUCCAGACUCAUCUAUCUACAUUUUUUUUUUCUCUCUCUCUCUUUUUCUCCCGGAUUUGUUUCAAUCCCGAACGAAUAUUUCUUCUAUAUAUUUAUUCCUUUAUUUGCUCUUUACCUCCCACUAUCGCCCAAUUUCCAGGUGCCCCUCUGGGUUUGUGUCUCUGCUCGGAGCCGGACCCCACCCUCUCCCCGCUCCGUGUCGCCGCAGCGCCCCGUUGGUGUCAGCCCCGAGCGUCCCCCGCGUGCGGCUCCCGCAGCGCUCCUCCGCCAUCUCCCUCCUUAACCCGGGUCACAAAUCCGGACGGGCUCGGUGAAUUUCAGGUGUGCAUUAAUCUGUGCAGCGCGGCACCAAAAGCAGCGGUUCGUUGACAUAAUUGCUGAGCAAAACUACCCACGGUGCACCCUCGAUGUAACGCGUUACUUUGAAAACCGAGGACAAAAGCCGGGAAACUUUAUUAUUGUUAUUCAUGCUCCUACUGGAAUCAGACUCAAACUUUAUGCCCCAGCUCUCCCUCUAUCUUCCCGCCUCGGGGCAUUGACAGCGAAUGUCCCAAAUCGAGAAUCUGUGUCACAUCCCCACUUCUAAACCUCGCUUAAUGCCAGGAACAGAGCUCCUCACCUCCCCCCCACCCCCUCGGCCGGCCGCUCCCGCAGAGCAGAGGGGCCCCGCUGUCCCUCCCCUCGGGCCGGGCUCUGCCGUUUCUAGGGUGCCUCGCACCAAACCGCAGAUGUCAGCCUUCCCCCUACGUGUUCGGGCUGUUAAUGCGGGCACUUCACACAACAGAAAUGUUCAUCUCUGGAGCCUUUCCCAGGGCCAGCCGCA